This is a long non-coding RNA of Callithrix jacchus (white-tufted-ear marmoset), 582 nucleotides long. The record is from Ensembl. Lineage: Eukaryota; Metazoa; Chordata; Mammalia; Primates; Cebidae.
AUGUGGCUCCGGUUGGUGCUCAGCCCAGGGCACGCCCGUUCGGGACUGCGGAGACGCCGGGAGCCCCGCCUGCUCGCCCAACCCAGCGGGGUCUGGUCCCAAGGGGUCUCGCCGCCCGCCUUCUAUCUCCGCCUCCUGCCCUCGGGCUGGGGUGCCGAUAGCCGAGGUGCGCCCGGACGCCCUGCCACCCCAGCGCCCUCUGAGCCCGGAGCUAGCCGAGGUUUCCCUUUGAAAAUGUAUGUUUGGCCCCCAUCACAGAAGUCCUGCCUGGAUUGCAGAGAAGCCCACAGCAGACCACACGAGCCCCAGAAGAGCGCUGGCUGCCGUGUGCUGCAGGUUCCUGCGUCUUUUUUCCUAUGUGCCCUUUGUGUUAAUUAAAAAUGAGACCAUUUUGUACACACUGUUUCUGAACCUUCCUUUUCUCACUGAAAAACCUUUUCCCGUUUGGGAAAAGUCUCUGCUGUGACAAUGACCAGCGGCAUCAUGCUUCAUCUUCUGGCUUUGACUUCAAAGCCCAUCCUAAGGACGGCUGAGCAGUUUCCAAUUUCUGGCUCUUGCAAAAGAGUGAAUUUUUUUAGCAUA